Molecule: ribosomal RNA, 424 nt
Filed under: uncultured Planctomyces sp.
Lineage: Bacteria; Pseudomonadati; Planctomycetota; Planctomycetia; Planctomycetales; Planctomycetaceae
Also listed under: 2 other names
Description: bacterial SSU rRNA
Rfam family: Bacterial small subunit ribosomal RNA
Source: RNAcentral
UCGAGAAUCUUCGGCAAUGGGCGCAAGCCUGACCGAGCGACGCCGCGUGCGGGAUGAAGGUCUUCGGAUUGUAAACCGCUGUCGGAGGGGAUGAAGUGCCCGGGGGUUCUCCCCCGGGUUUGACAGAGCCUCGGAGGAAGCACGGGCUAAGUUCGUGCCAGCAGCCGCGGUAAUACGAACUGUGCGAACGUUAUUCGGAAUCACUGGGCUUAAAGGGUGCGUAGGCGGUUCAUCAAGUCCGGUGUGAAAUCCCCCGGCUCAACCGGGGAAUGGCGCUGGAAACUAGUGGACUGGAGCGAGGCAGGGGUGUGUGGAACUUCCGGUGGAGCGGUGAAAUGUGUAGAUAUCGGAAGGAACGCCGGUGGCGAAAGCGGCACACUGGGCCUUGUCUGACGCUGAGGCACGAAAGCCAGGGGAGUGAACG